RNAcentral lists this ribosomal RNA (393 nucleotides) under uncultured bacterium. RNAcentral's name for it is "bacterial SSU rRNA". It matches the Rfam family "Bacterial small subunit ribosomal RNA", at positions 521 to 916 of the family's 1533-position model. The record is from RNAcentral.
UAAUACGGAGGGUGCAAGCGUUAUCCGGAUUUACUGGGUUUAAAGGGUGCGCAGGCGGAUAUGUAAGUCAGUGGUGAAAUCUUUAGGCUUAACCUGAAAAUUGCCGUUGAUACUAUAUAUCUUGAAUGCUGUGGAGGUAAGCGGAAUAUGUCAUGUAGCGGUGAAAUGCUUAGAUAUGACAUAGAACACCUAUUGCGAAGGCAGCUUACUACGCAGAUAUUGACGCUCAUGCACGAAAGCGUGGGGAUCAAACAGGAUUAGAUACCCUGGUAGUCCACGCCCUAAACGAUGAUUACUCGACAUACGCGAUACACUGUGUGUGUCUGAGCGAAAGCAUUAAGUAAUCCACCUGGGAAGUACGACCGCAAGGUUGAAACUCAAAUGAAUUGACGG